Molecule: ribosomal RNA, 668 nt
Filed under: Tindallia sp. enrichment culture
Lineage: Bacteria; Bacillati; Bacillota; Clostridia; Peptostreptococcales; Tindalliaceae
Description: bacterial SSU rRNA
Rfam family: Bacterial small subunit ribosomal RNA
Source: RNAcentral
AGAGUUUGAUCCUGGCUCAGGAUGAACGCUGGCGGCGUGCCUAACACAUGCAAGUCGAGCGGUCCAGCACCUAAAAUUCAUUUUAGGUGCUGGAUAGCGGCGGACGGGUGAGUAACGCGUGGGCAACCAACCUUGAUCAGGGGGACAACAUUGGGAAACCAGUGCUAAUACCGCAUAGCUCUAUUUUAUGGCAUCAUGAGAUAGAGAAAGAUUUAUCGGAUCAAGACGGGCCCGCGUCUGAUUAGCUAGUUGGUAAGGUAAUGGCUUACCAAGGCUGUGAUCAGUAGCCGACCUGAGAGGGUGACCGGCCACACUGGAACUGAGACACGGUCCAGACUCCUACGGGAGGCAGCAGUGGGGAAUAUUGCACAAUGGGGGAAACCCUGAUGCAGCAACGCCGCGUGAGCGAAGAAGGCCUUCGGGUCGUAAAGCUCUGUCCUAUGGGAAGAAGGAGUGACGGUACCAUAGGAGGAAGCCCCGGCUAACUACGUGCCAGCAGCCGCGGUAAUACGUAGGGGGCAAGCGUUAUCCGGAAUCACUGGGCGUAAAGGGUGCGUAGGCGGCUAAGUAAGUCAGGGGUGAAAGGCUACGGCUCAACCGUAGUAAGCCUUUGAAACUGCUUAGCUUGAGUGCAGGAGAGGUAAGUGGAAUUCCUAGUGUAGCGGUGA